AACUAUGUGCUUCUGCCUUUGCUAGGAGAACAUGCCAGGGCUGGCCUGUUGGAGGGCUGGGAGAGUGAGGUGGGGAGCAGCAUUUAGGUUGUCUCUCACCCAAGACAGAAAAUAAUCAGAUUGACAGAUUUCACUUUUCUCCAAGACUCAUUACUCAUCUGUUGUGUGUAGAUUUCGGCAGGGGUUCAAGAAAGCAUAUUGAUGCAUGUAUGUUGCGGUCUUAAUGCAAAUCUGAUCUAGCCUUAGAACUCUGAGCAUACCAAGAACCUAAGGGUAAAUUUAUUUUUCAUACGCAUUACCCCUUUGAAACUUGAAGAAAGACAAGGAGGAACAUAGAAUGAAAAGCAGAUUAAAAUGAAGGAUCAGACCCAGCUGGAUGUCUUAUACCUCCUCUUCUUUGUCAGUAGACUCCUGAAUUAUUAAGUUCAAUAAGAAAGGAAAGGGAUGGAAAGGAUUCGGAGUGUCUUAUUUCAGGUGUAAACCUUUAUGAUGUCUUCGUAUAUUCCUGUACCGCGUGCAAGCAUUGGAGGUUUGUGGCUGGAAAUCCUUCAAAGGUGACAAUGUACAGAAGAGUUGAUAUGAAUCAAGACUGGAUGAAUGAAGCCAUUGGAUGAAUUCACGCUUCUCAACAUCUAAGCCUUCGGCACACCCUUUGGUGGAAUUCAAAGUUUCUGCGGAGCAGAGAGCAGUAAUUAACAGUGAGACCUUAUGAUGAGCAAAUCACAGAAGCACAACUCUGAAGUAAGUCACCUAAGGCCACGCAGCUAGGAGAUAAAUGAAUCAACAUUGAAACCCAAUUUUGUUGCUUAGUAUCCCACAUUCUCAAACUAUAUUAUCUGUCCUUAUUGUGAAUAAAAAGUGUUCUUAUUAACACUACAUUCUUGGCUCAGUGCUAAGCUCUGUGGCCCAUUGUCCAGCACUUGACCAGGUCCCCGGCAGGCACUGAGCCAUUUGAUGCAGAGGAAUGCUGAGCAGCGUGAGGCCAGGCAGGCCCAACUGGCCAGGUGACGCCUGGCCAGAUGGUUCCUCCCCCCGGCGCCCCCAGAGGCCACUAUUGAAAACCUGAAAGAGACAAAAAGCCUGUGGAAUCCUCCAAGGGGACCAGAUGCUGCUUAGGGAAAACCUCUCCACACUGUGGCAUCAGGGAACGGGUGGUGCAAGAGAAGCUUCAAGAAUGAUGAACAGAACAAGAAACUGCCUCACUUGACAAUAAAAUAAAUGCCCACCACCUCCUGUUUCCUCGUUAAUGAUUAUUAAAAUGAUCCUGGUACAAGAUUAAUAUUAAAAACUGAUGCUUAGUAAUAAACUUCUCACAGCUAUCUUCAAGAUUUCCAGGGAGUAAUAGCUGAAAGGGAAAACUGAACAAGAGGAGUCUUCCUGUGUGUUGUAGUGCCUGGGUGUGUAUUUCUUUCCACUGCUAGUACUUUUGUUGGCAAAUAGUGCACGCUGUUGGAGCCUAUCCCCCAGACCUUAAGUAGGGGCAGUGGGUCGUGUGGGAUGGAGCCCUAUCAAAUGGGGCUGGACUCUGGUUUUGUCUGCUGUGACCCCGGGGGUGCCCGCUGGGAUCUGUGAGCAGGCAGAGGCCGGUGGGAGCACCCUCCGCCUCCCUUUGUUCCGCCGGGCUCCAGCCUGCAGCAGCUGAUCCGGUUAUUAUGCUCCUGAAAAGAAUUUCUAGGUGGCCACAGUGACCAUAAGGAGCAGAGAAACCACGAGGGCUGCAAGCCACGAAGAGCAACACAUCGGCUAUUGAGCACUAAUCCCACCCAUAAUUAGAGGAUCCCUUCAGCCUUGUGGUGCUCACAGAAAUCUGAACUAAGGCAGAGAGGAGCCGUCUGAGGUCUGUAGGCCACCGUUUACCAAAUGUGCUGUCAUCAGCGCAAUUAGCUUAUUUGGUGGGAUCGGCGUUUUAAAAAGAAAAACAGAAAGCUGUAUAGAACAUAGACUUGGGGCAAAAACUGAAUUUAAGAUGUAGUUAAAGUCACCUUUGAUUUCUCAGCUUCCUUCCCCCACCCCAUUCUUAAAAUCAUGCAUUUUAAUGAAAAUUUGAUCUGCGUGGGUCUGAUUUGUUUACUUGGGACUCAUCCAAAUGCUGUUUUGUAAGAGCGAUUUCAUAUCUAACAGAUUUGCAUAACUUGGGCUAUACUUCUCAGAAAGAAAAACUCAUGUUGGGCCCUAAAUGAACAGAUUUAUCGCUCUGAGACUUGUCCAGGCUUUACGGUGGCAGUUGCUCUCUGCCUACUCUGCUCUCCCUUGUCUUCAUCCCAGGCAUCCCAAGGUUUCUGCUAUACUAAAGAAAAGCUGCGCCCAUCAUCUGAAUCUAACCUUCGUGGGUGCUCAGGAACCUGUCACCUGUUCUAAAAUUCCACCUGCUAUUUUAAUUCACCACAUGCCGCCCGUUGGCUAAGUGGAAGAAAAUGAACAUCUGAUCACAAAGUCACUAAUUAUGUUUAAUUACUGGCUAAAAUAUUAACUUUCAAAAAGGAAGAUAACUUUUGAAAGUGAUAUGAAUUCACCACUGUUGUAAUCUAUUUAAAUUCAUGUGUUACAAAUAAAUUACAAGAGAGAGGAAGA
RNAcentral lists this long non-coding RNA (2571 nucleotides) under Homo sapiens (human). RNAcentral's name for it is "non-protein coding lnc-SLX4IP-39:4". The record is from RNAcentral. Lineage: Eukaryota; Metazoa; Chordata; Mammalia; Primates; Hominidae.